RNAcentral lists this small RNA (485 nucleotides) under Histoplasma ohiense. RNAcentral describes it as "hypothetical lncRNA". Lineage: Eukaryota; Fungi; Ascomycota; Eurotiomycetes; Onygenales; Ajellomycetaceae. The record is from RNAcentral.
UCUUGUGGUUGAGGACGAGGCGGGUGCGGAGGGUAUUGGGGGACCAGGAUUUGAAAGGGACUGUUUUGUGAGGUGGGGUUAGUUUUGGGUUUCUUUUUUUCUUCUCUUUUUUUUCCCCCUUACGGUUUGUUCUUAAGAAAUUCAAUGGGUAUUAGGAUGGAAAACUGGUAUGCAUACUUGGGAGUUUAGAGGUGAUGUCAAAGAAAUGGACGGGACUGUCGUUCGCCAUGUUUGUGUUGGUUCCUGCUACUCAGGGAGCUAAGUACGUGGAAAUUGGUUGAAUUUGAAGCGGAAUCAGGUGGGCGCGUAUAUCUGGACGGCCGUAUGUGUCUUUCUAUCGUGGCUGGGUCUCGGAAUCGCACUUUUAGCUCUCAGAUCCAACAUGAUAUACACACUAACCACGCAAAUUUGGGAAGCAACCGGCUUCAUGCAGCAUUGAAAGGCAGAAGCAGUGCAAGUUUCGGAACAAAAGAGAAAGAAAUAAA